This 468-nucleotide ribosomal RNA is filed under the name uncultured bacterium. RNAcentral describes it as "partial 16S ribosomal RNA". It matches the Rfam family "Bacterial small subunit ribosomal RNA", at positions 28 to 507 of the family's 1533-position model. The record is from RNAcentral.
GACGAACGCUGGCGGCGUGCUUAACACAUGCAAGUCGAACGGAAAGGCCCUGCUUUUGUGGGGUGCUCGAGUGGCGAACGGGUGAGUAACACGUGAGUAACCUGCCCUUGACUUUGGGAUAACAUCAGGAAACAGGGGCUAAUACCGGAUAGGAGCUCCUGCUGCAUGGUGGGGGUUGGAAAGUUUCGGCGGUUGGGGAUGGACUCGCGGCUUAUCAGCUUGUUGGUGGGGUAGUGGCUUACCAAGGCUUUGACGGGUAGCCGGCCUGAGAGGGUGACCGGCCACAUUGGGACUGAGAUACGGCCCAGACUCCUACGGGAGGCAGCAGUGGGGAAUAUUGCACAAUGGGCGGAAGCCUGAUGCAGCAACGCCGCGUGCGGGAUGACGGCCUUCGGGUUGUAAACCGCUUUCGCCUGUGACGAAGCGUGAGUGACGGUAAUGGGUAAAGAAGCACCGGCUAACUACGUG